UCGNUACUACCGAUUGAAUGGCUCAGUGAGGCCUCCGGAUUGGNUUAGGAAAGGGGGCAACCUCAUUCUGGAACCGAGAAGCUUGGUCAAACUUGGUCAUUUAGAGGAAGUAAAAGUCGUAACAAGGUUUCCGUAGGUGAACCUGCGGAAGGAUCAUUACUGAUUUGCUUAAUUGCACCACAUGUGUUUUUCUUUGAAACAAACUUGCUUUGGCGGUGGGCCCAGCCUGCCGCCAGAGGUCUAAACUUACAACCAAUUUUUUAUCAACUUGUCACACCAGAUUAUUACUAAUAGUCAAAACUUUCAACAACGGAUCUCUUGGUUCUCGCAUCGAUGAAGAACGCAGCGAAAUGCGAUACGUAAUAUGAAUUGCAGAUAUUCGUGAAUCAUCGAAUCUUUGAACGCACAUUGCGCCCUCUGGUAUUCCGGAGGGCAUGCCUGUUUGAGCGUCGUUUCUCCCUCAAACCGCUGGGUUUGGUGUUGAGCAAUACGACUUGGGUUUGCUUGAAAGACGGUAGUGGUAAGGCGGGAUCGCUUUGACAAUGGCUUAGGUCUAACCAAAAACAUUGCUUGCGGCGGUAACGUCCACCACGUAUAUCUUCAAACUUGACCUCAAAUCAGGUGGACUACCCGCUGAACUUAAGCAUAUCAAUAAGCGGCACGACCCCNCCC
RNAcentral lists this unclassified non-coding RNA (672 nucleotides) under Candida albicans. RNAcentral's name for it is "sequence contains 18S rRNA gene, ITS1, 5.8S rRNA gene, ITS2, 28S rRNA gene". The stretch from base 299 to 452 matches the Rfam family "5.8S ribosomal RNA". The record is from RNAcentral. Lineage: Eukaryota; Fungi; Ascomycota; Pichiomycetes; Serinales; Debaryomycetaceae.